AACCCUUUUAAAAACGACUCCUAGUCCACGUAAGCCAAAGAAAAAGGUUCGGGAGUCACGUUUGACAAAGGGGAAGGCAAGGAUAGAAUCCAAGGCACCCCUUUGACCUAGCCAAGGCUAGUUGCGCGACUUAACCCUACCUUUCCUAAUUUUCUACCCAAUGUAUGGAUUGCGCGUUGGAUAUGACUAUAUGAAUGCAAAACGGAAAGGAAAACGCAAUCCUAAAUUCUACGAUGUCUCUUGUGAGGCUUUUGGUCCCAAACCACAUGGAUUGUGGCGGCCAACAAAGGAAAACCUCAUAGAGGUCGAUUAAUGCAAAUGAGAGUUCAAAUUCAAGUGUGCAAGUGUGAAAGUGUAUGAAAGAUGCAAGAAAUGUAAGUGCAAGUGUGCGAAUGUAUAAAAAGGUGCAUGUGUGAAUUUGGAUGAAAAAUCAAAGUAUU
Molecule: long non-coding RNA, 440 nt
Filed under: Coffea arabica (coffee)
Lineage: Eukaryota; Viridiplantae; Streptophyta; Magnoliopsida; Gentianales; Rubiaceae
Description: long non-coding RNA (CARA_LNC000145)
Source: RNAcentral